GCCUGAGGGGAGGCGGCUCCCGCGCCUGCCAUGGCAGGGCUGAGGGGUUUUUCUCCUCUGUUCGCUGCUCUGGCCCCUCAGGGUUGGGCUCUGGAACCAAGGACUCUGGUUUUCUCCUCAGUGUGCCCACAGGAAGCACCCCCGGGGCGGCUGUGUCAGGUGCUGUCCCAAUGAACAAGAAUAUCCAGGAAUUAAGUUUCUCUCAGAAAAGUGGAGAUGUGCAGAAGAGGCUGCAUGAAGUGAGUUGAAAUUUGGGACAGCUUCUUAAAUUUAGACCACUGAGCUGUGUGAGGAAAUCCAUUUAAGUCUGAUGGGCAGAGCAAACUGAGGGGAAUGCAGCUGGAAAGAGAUGCACUUCAGCAUAGCAGGAUCUGGACUCCCAGGUGUCACACCUCCAAGGAAAGCUGGUCCUGUCUGGCCUAGGGGAAGGGUUAUGUCAUGAUGAGGUGCAAGUGGCACGUUGCAGUGAAGGUGGCAGCCUUUGACACUGGUCACGCCUCCAGACUGGGUUUACUGCUGGGAAUGAGCACAUUUCCACAGCUCAAGGGGGAACUAAAAGGGAAGAAAUCACCCUCUAGAAUCUGCUGCCUUUUCUUCAGGGCUUUGCUGUGUCAUCUGUUCACAACAGGUGGAGGAGGCACUUGAGUCACUGACAAAAGAGUCACAGACCCAAAGAGAGCUUCUGCUGCAGCAACAUCAAAUGAGGCAUCCAUUCUCUGGCUUUUUUUAUUCCUAAAGCAUAACCAGACAUUUUUCACAUGUUCCACAGAGACUUCCUUUGCGAUGAUCAUGGUAUUUGGGGUGGGGUGACUAGGAGGUACCAAGCAAUGUUUUUGAAGACUUCAGUAAU
Long non-coding RNA from Passer montanus (Eurasian tree sparrow), 850 nucleotides. RefSeq lists it as uncharacterized. The record is from RefSeq and is a predicted model, not a curated record. Lineage: Eukaryota; Metazoa; Chordata; Aves; Passeriformes; Passeridae. The transcript is spliced from 6 exons.